This is a long non-coding RNA of Pezoporus flaviventris, 675 nucleotides long. RefSeq lists it as uncharacterized. Lineage: Eukaryota; Metazoa; Chordata; Aves; Psittaciformes; Psittacidae. The transcript has 3 exons. The record is from RefSeq and is a predicted model, not a curated record.
UCCAUCAUGUCUGUAAAAGAGUGAUUCUGAAAGCUCUGCAGCACGCAGCAGCCCCGUAGAACAGGCUGCCGAGUAAUGGCUGCUUGGUUGACUCUGAACACAUACAGAAACUGUGUGUGUGUGGCUCACUGGUCUCAUUUCUCAUCCUACAGCUGUGAUCUAGCCAGUCAACUUCUUACUUCUCAGGAUCCAAGAUAAGCACUUGGCCAAAACAAGAUCUCACAUGGCCCAAAUUCAGCAUCUGAAAACAGGAGAAUCUGCCAAUCACCAGUGCUGGAGUCUCCUUGCCAGGUUCAUAAUUAGAUAAAGCUGCAGCAUUGCCAACCAGCGAAUCUGACAGUCCUCUUGGGGAGAAAUUCAUUGUAAAAAGGAUUUAGAAGAGCCACGCAGAGAGUAGGGUUUGAUUACCUUCAUUUACAUAGAUGGAGAGAAACUUUUUAAGAGGCAAAAAGGGGAGAGCCCUGUGUGAACCUUUAGCCAGUUUUAUCAAGUUCAAGUUCAGGACAUAGCCCAUAUCAGAUCCCCCCAAAAAUUUACAUACAGUGUUCACAGGGCUGCUUGAAUAAGUCUUUUCCUUAAAGAUUAGCUGCACUUUAUUGAUACUGCGCAAUAUUGCAAGAUACUCUUGUGAGCAGCCCUCAGAUGGUCAUAUUAAACAUUAUUUUGAUAAGGAGA